RNAcentral lists this long non-coding RNA (317 nucleotides) under Elaeis guineensis (African oil palm). Its description in RNAcentral is "long non-coding RNA (EGUI_LNC027690)". Lineage: Eukaryota; Viridiplantae; Streptophyta; Magnoliopsida; Arecales; Arecaceae. The record is from RNAcentral.
GCCCGAUUUUUCAACAUCGAUCUCUCCUUCCUUGAUGAGGACGAGGAUGAGGACGACAAGGAGGCUGCGAUGGAAGAAGCUCCUCUUGCUUCCAUGGCCAAUCCAUUGGGAGAGUCAUCGGGUCCUUGAGAAGCCGUGCCUGAUCCCUCCGAUAUUCAUAGCGAGAUCGCAAAAUGAAAUCUGUACUUUCUUUUCUUCUUUUUCCUUGUAAAAAAUAGUCAUUAAUGGAACAACACUUUACCUUUUUAUAUUCCCUUUUAUUUGUCUAGCUUCGAUCAUGCAUUCUCAUCGAGUACAUUCCUUUGGCUCCUAUCACC